AACCACAGGGUCUUUAUAGCUAAAUGUGAUGUUAGGGGGUGGAACUUGGCCAGAAGAGGCAGGUUAGUGGAAGCAUGAUCUGGCAGAGUAUCUCUCACACUCUCUGUCUCCCCCUUUUUCUUCCCUUCACUUUGCGACCUGGCUUCUAUGAGGUGAGCAGAUUUCCUCCUUAGCAGACCCUUCCAGCAUGCUGUCAAUCAUGCAAAGACUGCAACUUCUGAUACCUGCGCUAUACUGAGAUUCAAGAGAAAAUGGCACCAUCGAGUGAUUUUCAGUUUUCAAAUUCCCAUAAAGUAUUGGUGGAGGACAGCUUGGUUGCUGAAAACAUAAGCAUUAAAAGUGAAGUCAAUUGCUUCAUGUGAGGAUAACGGAAAAGAUGUCUUGAAAGCAUCUGAGGAAUAGGCAAGACCUUAUUCUUUGAAGGCUCCAGGGUGCAAAAGUGAAAGACUUUGCUUUGAGAAGUCAGAUCCCAUGCAUUCUGCUCAAGAAAAGUUGCCUAGUAAAUUGGUUUUCAAAACCCAAUUCACAGUGCUCAGCCAUUCAGACACUCUGAGACCUCUUCAACCAUGAUGCAAAAAGGCCUGGUUACUGCCGGGGCUGGCAGCAGACAUUAACAUCAACCAUGUGGUCCUAGUUUUAUAGGCAUGCAUAAUGCAAGAUCUGUAGGGUCAAGGAUGCUUCUACCAAGAUUUCAGAGGAAGGCCUUGAAGGCUAUGCAGUGUGCCCCUGGAAUGACAGUGAGUGAAGCUGUUAGAGUGAAGCUCAAAGUAGAGUGAAGAUCCAAGGAAGGUGAAGAAGCCAGGAGCAUGGAAGAUCUGUGGACAUCUAUAGGCAUGAGCAAAGCCAGCCUAAGAGAGAAGCCAUGAGGGCUGCAACCGCCAGCAGUACUUUAGGGACAGAACUGUACAAGCCAUUUGGAGAUCUCAUCUUUGACCCUCGUCCUGGACAAGGAAUUACAGAAUUCAAUAUUUGC
Chinchilla lanigera (long-tailed chinchilla) is the source of this 973-nucleotide long non-coding RNA. RefSeq lists it as uncharacterized. Lineage: Eukaryota; Metazoa; Chordata; Mammalia; Rodentia; Chinchillidae. The record is from RefSeq and is a predicted model, not a curated record. The transcript is spliced from 2 exons.